CCUACGGGAGGCAGCAGUGGGGAAUUCUGGACAAUGGGCGCAAGCCUGAUCCAGCAAUGCCGCGUGAGUGAAGAAGGCCUUCGGGUUGUAAAGCUCUUUUGUCAGGGAAGAAACGGUUGGGGCUAAUAUCCUCGGCUAAUGACGGUACCUGAAGAAUAAGCACCGGCUAACUACGUGCCAGCAGCCGCGGUAAUACGUAGGGUGCAAGCGUUAAUCGGAAUUACUGGGCGUAAAGCGUGCGCAGGCGGUUUUGUAAGUCUGUCGUGAAAGCCCCGGGCUUAACCUGGGAAUUGCGAUGGAGACUGCAAGGCUUGAAUCUGGCAGAGGGGGGUAGAAUUCCACGUGUAGCAGUGAAAUGCGUAGAGAUGUGGAGGAACACCGAUGGCGAAGGCAGCCCCCUGGGUCAAGAUUGACGCUCAUGCACGAAAGCGUGGGGAGCAAACAGGAUUAGAUACCCUGGUAGUCCACGCCCUAAACGAUGUCUACUAGUUGUCGGGUCUUAAUUGACUUGGUAACGCAGCUAACGCGUGAAGUAGACCGCCUGGGGAGUAACGGUCGCAAGNUUAAAACGUUAAAGGAAUUGACGG
RNAcentral lists this ribosomal RNA (587 nucleotides) under uncultured bacterium. RNAcentral describes it as "bacterial SSU rRNA". It matches the Rfam family "Bacterial small subunit ribosomal RNA", at positions 338 to 916 of the family's 1533-position model. The record is from RNAcentral.